AGAGACGAACGCGUGGCGGCGAGGUACUUAACACAUGACAAGUCGAGGCGGGCGUAGACAAUACGUCAGGCGGCAAACGGGUGAGUAACGCGUGGGAACAUACCUUUUGGUUCGGAACAACACAGGGAAACUUGUGCUAAUACCGGAUAAGCCCUUACGGGGAAAGAUUUAUCGCCGAAAGAUUGGCCCGCGUCUGAUUAGCUAGUUGGUGAGGUAACGGCUCACCAAGGCGACGAUCAGUAGCUGGUCUGAGAGGAUGAUCAGCCACAUUGGGACUGAGACACGGCCCAAACUCCUACGGGAGGCAGCAGUGGGGAAUAUUGGACAAUGGGCGCAAGCCUGAUCCAGCCAUGCCGCGUGAGUGAUGAAGGCCCUAGGGUUGUAAAGCUCUUUUGUGCGGGAAGAUAAUGACGGUACCGCAAGAAUAAGCCCCGGCUAACUUCGUGCCAGCAGCCGC
Molecule: ribosomal RNA, 457 nt
Filed under: uncultured bacterium
Lineage: Bacteria
Description: SSU rRNA
Rfam family: Bacterial small subunit ribosomal RNA
Source: RNAcentral